This 253-nucleotide ribosomal RNA is filed under the name uncultured bacterium. RNAcentral describes it as "partial 16S ribosomal RNA". It matches the Rfam family "Bacterial small subunit ribosomal RNA", at positions 524 to 776 of the family's 1533-position model. The record is from RNAcentral.
UACGUAGGGUGCAAGCGUUGUCCGGAAUUAUUGGGCGUAAAGAGCUCGUAGGCGGCCUGUCGCGUCGGCUGUGAAAACCCGAGGCUCAACCUCGGGCCUGCAGUCGAUACGGGCAGGCUAGAGUUCGGUAGGGGAGACUGGAAUUCCUGGUGUAGCGGUGAAAUGCGCAGAUAUCAGGAGGAACACCGGUGGCGAAGGCGGGUCUCUGGGCCGAAACUGACGCUGAGACACGAAAGCCAGGGGAGCAAACGGG